This 1241-nucleotide ribosomal RNA is filed under the name Wolbachia pipientis. Its description in RNAcentral is "bacterial LSU rRNA". It matches the Rfam family "Bacterial large subunit ribosomal RNA", at positions 1 to 1275 of the family's 2925-position model. The record is from RNAcentral. Lineage: Bacteria; Pseudomonadati; Pseudomonadota; Alphaproteobacteria; Rickettsiales; Anaplasmataceae.
AUAAAUAAAUUAUUAAGAGCACUUGAUGGAUGCCUUGGCGUUAAGAGGCGAUGAAGGACGUGGCAGGCUGCGAUAAGCUGUGGGAAAUUGUCAACAAAUUUUGAUCCGCAGAUUUCCGAAUGGGGAAACCCAACUAGCUUAGCUAGUUAUUAUAUACUAAGUAUAUAAAGCAAACUUGGUGAACUGAAAUAUCUAAGUAGCCAAAGGAAAAGAAAUCAACCGAGAUUCUGUUAGUAGUGACGAGCGAAAGCGGAAAAGGCUAGUGAUUUAAAAAUAAGAAUUAGAAUACUCUGGAAAUGGUAACCAUAGAAGGUGAUAGUCCUGUAUAAAUAGAAAGUUUUUAAAUCCUUGAGUAGAGCGGGGCACGUGAAAUCCUGUUUGAAUAUGGGGGGACCAUCCUCCAAGCCUAAAUACUCCUUAACGACCGAUAGUGAACAAGUACCGUGAGGGAAAGGUGAAAAGAACCCCGGGAGGGGAGUGAAAUAGAAUCUGAAAUCAAGUGCUUACAAACAGUUGGAGCUCUAUAUCAAUUUAUUGAUAUCUAGAGUGACAGCGUACCUUUUGCAUAAUGGGUCAGCGAGUUAAUCUAUAAAGCAAGCUUAAGCCGUUAGGUGUAGGCGUAGCGAAAGCAAGUCUGAAUAGGGCGUUUAGUUUUAUGGAUUAGACCCGAAACCAAGUGAUCUAGUCAUGACCAGAUUGAAGGUAUGGUAAAACAUACUGAAGGAUCGAACCAGUUAAUGUUGCAACAUUAUUGGAUGAGUUGUGAUUAGGGGUGAAAGGCCAAUCAAACUUGGAAAUAGCUGGUUCUCCGCGAAAUCUAUUUAGGUAGAGCGUUGUAUUUAUGUUGUUGGGGGUAGAGCACUGGAUAGACUAGGGGGAUUCAUCAUCUUACCAAAUCUAACCAAACUCCGAAUACCAAUAAUUAAUUAUACAGCAGACACACUAUGGGUGCUAAGUCCGUGGUGGAAAGGGAAACAGCCCAGAUCACUAUCUAAGGUCCCAAAAUUACAGCUAAGUGGGAAAGGAAGUAGAAAAACCAUUACAGCUAGGAGGUUGGCUUGGAAGCAGCCAUCCUUUAAAGAAAGCGUAACAGCUCACUUGUCUAAAUAAGUUUUUCUGCGCCGAAAAUGUACCGGGGCUAAAGCUGUAUACCGAAGAUGUGGGUGCUUAUUGAUUUCGAUUAGUAGGCGCGGUAGCGGAGCGUUCCGUAAGUUUGUGAAGGUGGUUUGUGAAAACUGCUG